GAUUGAAGAACGCAGCGAAAUGCGAUAAGUAAUGUGAAUUGCAGAAUUCAGUGAAUCAUCGAAUCUUUGAACGCACAUUGCGCCCGCCAGCAUUCUGGCGGGCAUGCCUGUUCGAGCGUCAUUUCAACCCUCGACUUCCCUUUGGGGAAAUCGGCCGUUGGAGACGGCGAGCCUUCGUGCUCGCCCCUCCCAAAUUCAGUGGCGGCCCGUCCGCGGCGACCUCUGCGUAGUACUUACACCUCGCACCGGAACCCCGACGUGGCCACGCCGUAAAACAACCCAAUUCUGAACGUUGACCUCGGAUCAGGUAGGAAUACCCGCUGAACUUAAGCAUAUCAAUAAGCGGAGGA
RNAcentral lists this unclassified non-coding RNA (350 nucleotides) under soil metagenome. RNAcentral's name for it is "partial contains 5.8S ribosomal RNA, internal transcribed spacer 2, and large subunit ribosomal RNA". The stretch from base 4 to 121 matches the Rfam family "5.8S ribosomal RNA", at positions 37 to 154 of the family's 154-position model. The record is from RNAcentral.